CCUUGAUGUUUACUCAGUGGUGAGGUAGCAGAUGAGGUGAUAAAAAGGAAAUUGUGGUUGAUCUUACCAAUUUUCCAGGCGGGUCUGAAGUGAUUGAGAGCUGCACCGCUAAGCAGACUUAAAAGGAAUUGAGCAAACACUGACACCAUGAACCCUUCUCAGGAAAUAAUGGGGCCUUUUGGUCCACUGGCCAUUUGCUAUAAAAACGCCACAAGCAGGGCUUUACGCCGGAAACGAGAGUUCAUCCCGGAAGAAAAAAAAGACACCGUCUACUGGGAGAAGAGGCAAAAGAACAACGAGUCUGCAAAACGUUCCCGGGAAAAGAGGCAGUUCAGCUAUUUUGCAAUUGAGAGCCAGAUGGCUGCCCUCCAGGAGGAGAAUUUUCACCUCCGUUGGGAGCUCCAACACCUAAAAGCCCGUUGUGGUCUCCUUAAUCAUAUUGCAGAACAACCAAAUGCCAGUGUUAACUCUCUGUUCUGCACACAAGGUAACUGCUGGUCAAGGGCCCAAGGCACCAUUCCUUCAGCAGAAAGGUUGUUGGAUUAUAUGUGGAUCCCAAGGGAACAUCUUGAUUCCAACCCAAAGCAUAUGGCCUUCCUCAAGCAGUACAACAUGGUUCUUUCACAAGGAAAGAAUAACCCUACUUUUUCCAGUUCUGCCUUCCUUCCAACUUACUUCAACUGCCAACUUAUACAGAGAUAUUCCCACCAUUUCCCAAUAUAUGACAGAUCUCACUUUCCAAUCAAGUUGCCAAAUACAGGUGAGGUAGGGAAGGAAGGUCCUCAAAACAAUGACAGUGAGAAGGAAACAAUGUCAGAUGUUUCAGAAUAUCCAAUGAUGCCCCCAAAUUAUUCUGCUCUGCCUCAUAAACUUAGGAUUAAAACAAAAAAACAUCAACUUCUGUGAUAAGAAUGUCAGUAGACAUAAUUUGGCUGAAAAUAAUAAACUAAAAAGAGAAAUAUUUGGAUUGCAAUCAAAUUGGACUUCUCACAUCUUUCUAAUAUAGGAAGACUUUUGUUUUUAGCUUCAUGAAA
Long non-coding RNA from Crotalus tigris (Tiger rattlesnake), 1034 nucleotides. RefSeq lists it as uncharacterized. NCBI's taxonomy places the organism in Eukaryota, Metazoa, Chordata, Lepidosauria, Squamata, Viperidae. The transcript has 3 exons. The record is from RefSeq and is a predicted model, not a curated record.